Molecule: ribosomal RNA, 420 nt
Filed under: bacterium
Lineage: Bacteria
Description: partial 16S ribosomal RNA
Rfam family: Bacterial small subunit ribosomal RNA
Source: RNAcentral
UGGGGGAUAUUGCACAAUGGGCGAAAGCCUGAUGCAGCGACGCCGCGUGGGGGAUGAAGGCUUUCGGGUUGUAAACCUCUUUCGCUAUCGAACAAGCCCCGCUUAGGGUGGGUUGAGGGUAGGUGGAGAAGAAGCGCCGGCUAACUACGUGCCAGCAGCCGCGGUAAUACGUAGGGCGCGAGCGUUGUCCGGAAUUAUUGGGCGUAAAGGGCUUGUAGGCGGCUUGUUGCGCCUGCUGUGAAAACGCGGGGCUUAACUUCGCGCGUGCAGUGGGUACGGGCAGGCUUGAGUGUGGUAGGGGUGACUGGAAUUCCAGGUGUAGCGGUGGAAUGCGCAGAUAUCUGGAGGAACACCGAUGGCGAAGGCAGGUCACUGGGCCAUUACUGACGCUGAGGAGCGAAAGCAUGGGUAGCGAACAGG